GACGAACGCUGGCGGCGUGCUUAACACAUGCAAGUCGAACGGAAAGGCCCUGCUUUUGUGGGGUGCUCGAGUGGCGAACGGGUGAGUAACACGUGAGUAACCUGCCCUUGACUUUGGGAUAACUUCAGGAAACUGGGGCUAAUACCGGAUAGGAGCUCCUGCUGCAUGGUGGGGGUUGGAAAGUUUCGGCGGUUGGGGAUGGACUCGCGGCUUAUCAGCUUGUUGGUGGGGUAGUGGCUUACCAAGGCUUUGACGGGUAGCCGGCCUGAGAGGGUGACCAGCCACAUUGGGACUGAGAUACGGCACAGCCUACUACGGGAGGCAGCAGUGGGGAAUAUUGCACAAUGGGCGGAAGCCUGAUGCAGCAACGCCGCGUGCGGGAUGACGGCCUUCGGGUUGUAAACCGCUUUCGCCUGUGACGAAGCGUGAGUGACGGUAAUGGGUAAAGAAGCACCGGCUAACUACGUG
RNAcentral lists this ribosomal RNA (468 nucleotides) under uncultured bacterium. Its description in RNAcentral is "partial 16S ribosomal RNA". It matches the Rfam family "Bacterial small subunit ribosomal RNA", at positions 28 to 507 of the family's 1533-position model. The record is from RNAcentral.